This 872-nucleotide ribosomal RNA is filed under the name uncultured bacterium. Its description in RNAcentral is "bacterial SSU rRNA". It matches the Rfam family "Bacterial small subunit ribosomal RNA", at positions 61 to 933 of the family's 1533-position model. The record is from RNAcentral.
GUCGGACGGGAUUGAGGAGCUUGCUUCUCAUGAGAGUGGCGCACGGGUGCGUAACACGUAUAUAACCUACCUUGUUCAGGGGGAUAGCCUCUCGAAAGAGAGAUUAACACCGCAUAAAAUCAAUUUAUGGCAUCAUAGAAUGAUCAAAUAUUUAUAGGAACAAGAUGGGCAUGCGGAACAUUAGCUAGUUGGUAAGGUAACGGCUUACCAAGGCUACGAUGUUUAGGGGAUCUGAGAGGAUGACCCCCCACACUGGUACUGAGACACGGACCAGACUCCUACGGGAGGCAGCAGUAAGGAAUAUUGGUCAAUGGACGCAAGUCUGAACCAGCCAUGCCGCGUGCAGGAAGACGGCCCUACGGGUUGUAAACUGCUUUUGUACCGGAAUAAACCUUUUCACGUGUGAGAAGCUGAAUGUACGGUAAGAAUAAGGAUCGGCUAACUCCGUGCCAGCAGCCGCGGUAAUACGGAGGAUCCAAGCGUUAUCCGGAUUUAUUGGGUUUAAAGGGUGCGUAGGUGGCCUAUUAAGUCAGGGGUGAAAGACGGUAGCUUAACUAUCGCAGUGCCUUUGAUACUGAUGGGCUUGAAUACACUUGAGGUAGGCGGAAUGUGACAAGUAGCGGUGAAAUGCAUAGAUAUGUCACAGAACACCAAUUGCGAAGGCAGCUUACUAAAGUGUUAUUGACACUGAGGCACGAAAGCGUGGGGAUCAAACAGGAUUAGAUACCCUGGUAGUCCACGCCCUAAACGAUGAAUACUCGAUGUUGGCGAUAUACGGUCAGCGUCUAAGCGAAAGCGUUAAGUAUUCCACCUGGGGAGUACGCCCGCAAGGGUGAAACUCAAAGGAAUUGACGGGGGCCCGCACAAGCGGA